Rhineura floridana is the source of this 217-nucleotide long non-coding RNA. RefSeq lists it as uncharacterized. Lineage: Eukaryota; Metazoa; Chordata; Lepidosauria; Squamata; Rhineuridae. The transcript is spliced from 3 exons. The record is from RefSeq and is a predicted model, not a curated record.
GGAACAUCCAGUGAAGCUGAAUGCCCUAAAACAGGUCAGGACAGCAACCUUGGACUUAAUCUAGAGUGGCACACAGGACCUGCUGCGAGAUUGCGCCGCUGUGAUGUUCCUGCUUAUAUUGUAAAUAUGACCAAAGAACCAAGGCACCAUCAACCAAGAAGAGACCCCACCAUCUCAUCAGGGAGCUGCCAUCGAGGAACACCAAUCAAGAUGUCAA